RNAcentral lists this ribosomal RNA (632 nucleotides) under uncultured bacterium. Its description in RNAcentral is "bacterial SSU rRNA". It matches the Rfam family "Bacterial small subunit ribosomal RNA", at positions 861 to 1504 of the family's 1533-position model. The record is from RNAcentral.
UAAGUGAUCCACCUGGGGAGUACGGUCGCAAGAUUGAAACUCAAAGGAAUUGACGGGGGCCCGCACAAGCGGAGGAGCAUGUGGUUUAAUUCGAUGAUACGCGAGGAACCUUACCUGGGCUCGAACGUGGAAUGACAGUCGCGGAAACGUGAUCUUCUUCGGACAUUCUACGAGGUGCUGCAUGGUUGUCGUCAGCUCGUGCCGUGAGGUGUCGGGUUAAGUCCCAUAACGAGCGCAACCCCUAUCUUUAGUUGCCAUCAGGUAAUGCUGGGGACUCUAAAGAAACUGCCUACGCAAGUAGUGAGGAAGGCGGGGAUGACGUCAAAUCAGCACGGCCCUUACGUCCAGGGCUACACACGUGCUACAAUGGCCGGUACAGAGGGCAGCUACCUGGUGACAGGAUGCAAAUCUCCAAAGCCGGUCUCAGUUCGGAUCGAAGUCUGAAACUCGACUUCGUGAAGUUGGAUUCGCUAGUAAUCGCGCAUCAGCCAUGGCGCGGUGAAUACGUUCCCGGGCCUUGUACACACCGCCCGUCAAGCCAUGGAAGCUUGGGGUACCUAAAGUCCGUGACCGUAAGGAGCGGCCUAGGGUAAAACAGGUAACUAGGGCUAAGUCGUAACAAGGUAACCGUA